Molecule: ribosomal RNA, 489 nt
Filed under: uncultured bacterium
Lineage: Bacteria
Description: partial 16S ribosomal RNA
Rfam family: Bacterial small subunit ribosomal RNA
Source: RNAcentral
AUUGAACGCUGGCGGCAGGCCUAACACAUGCAAGUCGAACGGUAACAGGAAGCAGCUUGCUGCUUCGCUGACGAGUGGCGGACGGGUGAGUAAUGUCUGGGAAACUGCCUGAUGGAGGGGGAUAACUACUGGAAACGGUAGCUAAUACCGCAUAACGUCGCAAGACCAAAGAGGGGGACCUUAGGGCUCUUGGCAUCGGAUGUGCCCAGAUGGGAUUAGCUAGUAGGUGGGGUAACGGCUCACCUAGGCGACGAUCCCUAGCUGGUCUGAGAGGAUGACCAGCCACACUGGAACUGAGACACGGUCCAGACUCCUACGGGAGGCAGCAGUGGGGAAUAUUGCACAAUGGGCGCAAGCCUGAUGCAGCCAUGCCGCGUGUAUGAAGAAGGCCUUCGGGUUGCAAAGUACUUUCAGCGGGGAGGAAGGGAGUAAAGUUAAUACCUUGGCUCAUUGACGUUACCCGCAGAAGAAGCACCGGCUAACUCCGUG